AGCGGCGGACGGGUGAGUAACGCGUGGGCAACCUGCCUUACACAGGGGGAUAACACUGGGAAACUAGUGCUAAUACCGCAUAACAUCAUUUUAUGGCAUCAUGAGAUGAUCAAAGGAGCAAUCCGGUGUAAGAUGGGCCCGCGUCCGAUUAGCUAGUUGGUGAGGUAACGGCUCACCAAGGCAUCGAUGGGUAGCCGGCCUGAGAGGGUGGCCGGUCACACUGGGACUGAGACAAGGCCCAGACUCC
RNAcentral lists this ribosomal RNA (247 nucleotides) under uncultured Clostridia bacterium. RNAcentral describes it as "partial 16S ribosomal RNA". It matches the Rfam family "Bacterial small subunit ribosomal RNA", at positions 94 to 339 of the family's 1533-position model. The record is from RNAcentral. Lineage: Bacteria; Bacillati; Bacillota; Clostridia.